Molecule: ribosomal RNA, 667 nt
Filed under: Clostridioides difficile
Lineage: Bacteria; Bacillati; Bacillota; Clostridia; Peptostreptococcales; Peptostreptococcaceae
Description: partial 23S ribosomal RNA
Rfam family: Bacterial large subunit ribosomal RNA
Source: RNAcentral
ACAGGUUGAUAUUCCUGUACUACCGAUAACCGUUUGAGAGAAGGGAUGACACAGUAGGAUAAGCUAAGCACACUGUUGGUUAUGUGUGCCCAAGCAUUGAGGCAGUCAAAGUAGGCAAAUCCGCUUUGAUAAUGCUGGGAUGUGAUGGGGAGCGAAAUUUAGUAGCGAAGUAGCUGAUUUCACACUGUCAAGAAAAGUCUCUAUCGAGGUUAAAGGUACCCGUACCGCAAACCGACACAGGUGGGUGAGGAGAGUAUCCUAAGGCCAGCGAGAGAACUGUUGUUAAGGAACUCGGCAAAAUGACCCCGUAACUUAGGGAUAAGGGGUGCCACCAUCAGGUGGCCGCAGAGAAUAGGCCCAAGCGACUGUUUACCAAAAACAUAGGUUUCUGCUAAGUCGCAAGACGAUGUAUAGGAGCUGACGCCUGCCCGGUGCUGGAAGGUUAAGGGGAUCUGUUAGAGCAAUCGAAGCAGUGAACUUAAGCCCCAGUAAACGGCGGCCGUAACUAUAACGGUCCUAAGGUAGCGAAAUUCCUUGUCGGGUAAGUUCCGACCCGCACGAAAGGCGUAACGAUUUGGGCACUGUCUCAACAACAGACUCGGUGAAAUUGUAAUUCCGGUGAAGAUGCCGGAUACCUGCGACAGGACGGAAAGACCCCAUGGAGCUU